GGCGACGGGUGAGUAACCGUGGGCAAUCUGCCCUGCACUCUGGGACAAGCCCUGGAAACGGGGUCUAAUACCGGAUACUGAUCCUCGCAGGCAUCUGCGAGGUUCGAAAGCUCCGGCGGUGCAGGAUGAGCCCGCGGCCUAUCAGCUAGUUGGUGAGGUAACGGCUCACCAAGGCGACGACGGGUAGCCGGCCUGAGAGGGCGACCGGCCACACUGGGACUGAGACACGGCCCAGACUCCUACGGGAGGCAGCAGUGGGGAAUAUUGCACAAUGGGCGAAAGCCUGAUGCAGCGACGCCGCGUGAGGGAUGACGGCCUUCGGGUUGUAAACCUCUUUCAGCAGGGAAGAAGCGAAAGUGACGGUACCUGCAGAAGAAGCGCCGGCUAACUACGUGCCAGCAGCCGGGGGUUAAUACG
Molecule: ribosomal RNA, 417 nt
Filed under: Streptomyces sp. MBT5
Lineage: Bacteria; Bacillati; Actinomycetota; Actinomycetes; Kitasatosporales; Streptomycetaceae
Description: bacterial SSU rRNA
Rfam family: Bacterial small subunit ribosomal RNA
Source: RNAcentral